Molecule: long non-coding RNA, 300 nt
Filed under: Setaria viridis
Lineage: Eukaryota; Viridiplantae; Streptophyta; Magnoliopsida; Poales; Poaceae
Description: long non-coding RNA (SVIR_LNC001305)
Source: RNAcentral
UAAUGUUGUGAGGUAAUUAAGAUGGAAACUAAGAAGAAAGUGAUAUGAAGUUUGCAGAGAAGAAGGUAGUAGGCAAUUAGUCAAUAACAGAGUAAUUUCAAGAGCAAGAUAAGAAAAUGAUACUGAGGGUGGGGAUAAAUUGGCAUAUACAUGGGGAAUUUUUUGGACUAAAUGAGUAUUAUAUUUUGACUUGACUUCGUUUCCAAAAUGUGUAUUGACUUCAGAGCAAAGUGACCAUCUGCACUUCAGUACGUGUCUGCACAUAAUUGGCCAGUAUGCAUAAAGUUAUCAUCAUUUGAG